UACAGAGGUCUCAAGCGUUGUUCGGAUUCAUUGGGCGUAAAGCGCACGUAGGCGGAUCUGCAAGUCAGAGGUGAAAUCCCAGGGCUCAACCUUGGAACUGCCUUUGAAACUGCGGGUCUUGAGUUCGAGAGAGGUGAGUGGAAUUCCGAGUGUAGAGGUGAAAUUCGUAGAUAUUCGGAGGAACACCAGUGGCGAAGGCGGCUCACUGGCUCGAUACUGACGCUGAGGUGCGAAAGCGUGGGGAGCAAACAGG
Molecule: ribosomal RNA, 253 nt
Filed under: uncultured bacterium
Lineage: Bacteria
Description: partial 16S ribosomal RNA
Rfam family: Bacterial small subunit ribosomal RNA
Source: RNAcentral